GUCCUUGUAGCUUAAUAUAAAGCAUAGCACUGAAGAUGCUAGGAUGGUCCUAGACCCAGGGACA
Non-coding RNA from Daphnia carinata, 64 nucleotides. The record is from the annotation of a RefSeq genome assembly. NCBI's taxonomy places the organism in Eukaryota, Metazoa, Arthropoda, Branchiopoda, Diplostraca, Daphniidae.